GAGAGGAACACAAGACAUUUGAUCAACAAAAAAAGGGGUAAAAUUAUGGCUGCCUCUCUACAAGCAGCUGCUACUCUUAUGCAACCGACAAAGGUUGGUGUUAGAAACAACCUGCAGUUGAGGUCUGCUCAAAGUGUGAGCAAAGCAUUUGGUGUUGAACAAGGUUCAGGCAGGCUUACUUGCUCUUUGCAAACUGAAAUCAAGGAAUUGGCUCAGAAAUGUACUGAUGCUGCCAAGAUUGCUGGUUUUGCUCUUGCCACCUCUGCCCUCGUCGUCUCGGUAAGUUGCUUUUCUAAUUCAAUGCUUGCCUGCUUCAUGUCUAUAUUUCCCAUGUAUCCAGUGCUGUUGCCUGCAUAAUACAGAGUCAUAUAAUUCAACUAGGAUCUUUCUAAACAAGUCCAUCAUAUUAUGUAUACAAUUCAACAUGCCAGAUAUUAAACAACUAACGAUUAGAAAUACAAGACAAACCAAUGAAAAAUGUCGUGAGAUCCCCCGCGCUGCAGGGGUGUAUCUGCUGACUAGUUUAGAUCACGAGGAGGCACAAAAGCAAGAAAGCCACUUUUAAGCUAUGAAUGGAUCAGUACUGUGAAUAGGAUAGGAUGAAAGAGGAAUUCCAUUCAUUAUAUGAACUGCCAUAUCCCUCUAUUGUGUAUGAAGUUUAUGGUUUCCUUUGGUGUCAAUCCAAUCAUCUAAAUUUAGGAUAAUAAGAAAGGCUAUAACUGGACUAGAGAUGAAUGCUAACUAACCAGUAUGACAUACCGAUAAUUCUAAAAGCAGGUAAAAUGUUCUUCAAGCUAGUCGGCCUCAUAUUCACUGUCAAUCACUUUCUUUGAAGUAACCAUAACUAGUAAACUACCAAAUAUCUUUAUCAGGAAUAGAGGGCCUUGAUAUCUUUGAGAGUACGUAAAAAUACUUCAGAAGGCUUCUUUACCAUUGCCACCUCCAAAACUAAGAUCAGACUAUCCAAUCUUUUGUCAAAAUUUCCUAGCUCAUUUCUGGAUGUUCAUGCUAUCAUCUGUAUUUCAGGACAAGCAUCAAUAGUUCUAUAAAGAUGAACUAGUUUGCAGAUUCUGUCAUACAUACUGGUAUAUAUAAAAUCUAACUUCCAGACAUACUUUUAUUUGGUAUGAUGAUGACAUGAGUUGAGCUUAUAUGGAGAAGCAUAGUCAAUGAGAAUUCAUAUAGCCGACCCCAACUUUUGGACUGAGGUGUAGUAGUUGUUGUUCUUGUUUCUCAUGCAAAAAUUUCUAAUGUUUGUACACUUGGAUACACAGGGAGCAAAUGCGGAAGGAGUUCCAAAACGUUUAACCUAUGAUGAAAUCCAAAGUAAGACAUAUAUGGAAGUAAAGGGAACUGGAACUGCUAACCAAUGUCCUACCAUUGAAGGAGGUGUUGGCAGCUUUGCCUUCAAACCAGGCAAAUACACUGCCAAGAAAUUCUGCCUAGAGCCCACAUCAUUCACAGUCAAGGCAGAGGGUGUCAGCAAGAACUCAGCCCCAGACUUCCAAAAAACCAAGCUCAUGACACGCUUAACCUACACUCUUGAUGAGAUUGAGGGACCAUUUGAAGUGUCUCCGGAUGGCACUGUUAAGUUUGAGGAGAAGGAUGGAAUUGAUUAUGCUGCUGUUACAGUUCAGCUUCCUGGUGGUGAGCGUGUGCCCUUCCUCUUCACUAUCAAACAGCUUGUGGCAAGCGGCAAGCCAGAAAGCUUUAGUGGUGAGUUCCUUGUGCCAUCAUACAGAGGUUCAUCCUUCCUUGACCCAAAGGGACGAGGUGGAUCUACUGGCUAUGACAACGCUGUUGCAUUGCCUGCUGGAGGGAGAGGAGACGAGGAGGAGCUUCAGAAGGAGAACGUAAAGAACACUGCAUCUUUAACAGGAAAGAUCACCUUGAGUGUUACCCAGAGCAAGCCAGAGACUGGUGAGGUCAUUGGAGUAUUUGAGAGCAUCCAGCCAUCUGAUACUGAU
This 1967-nucleotide long non-coding RNA is filed under the name Solanum lycopersicum (tomato). RNAcentral's name for it is "long non-coding RNA (SLYC_LNC001174)". Lineage: Eukaryota; Viridiplantae; Streptophyta; Magnoliopsida; Solanales; Solanaceae. The record is from RNAcentral.